Zootermopsis nevadensis is the source of this 6707-nucleotide RNA transcript. It is a transcript of the gene named BBSome complex member BBS2, with no coding region annotated. NCBI's taxonomy places the organism in Eukaryota, Metazoa, Arthropoda, Insecta, Blattodea, Termopsidae. The record is from RefSeq and is a predicted model, not a curated record.
AUUUUCAAAAAAAUAACUGUUUCAUUCUGCGACAGGAUCGCACUUACAGCUGGGGAAAACUUGAAUAUAUGGUUAUAUUUCAGGGCGCGGUUUGGGGGAGUAUGAAAUGGUUGUGUUAGCUACCCUGUACCCAUACUCAGUGCUUGUAUUUAUUAAUGUUUCUAAAUUCAAACCAUUGUCAAGUGUUACGUGUAUAAGAUGGAAAGGUCUAAAUUGUAGGUUAGGUAUAAACUUCAGAUUAUACCAUCCACCCAGCAGACCAACGUCAACAGGUUUGUGUGAUGGCUGUCCCUAUCUUUACAUUCAAUGUGAACCACAAGCUAUUGCCUGGACGGGUCACCAUAGGCAAGUACGAUGGCACACAUUCCUGCCUCACUGCAGCCACAACAGCAGACAAGGUGUUGGUGCACAGUCCACACAGACGUAUGGGCCUUGCUGUGGGGCGAGUGGUACCAAGUGAUGCAAAUAAAGAACUUGCCCUCCUGAAUAUCAACCAGUCUGUGAUGUCCAUUUGCGCUGGUCAGCUGAGUUUGACAGAAGAACGAGACACCCUCGUGGUUGGAACCCCUACCACCUUGCUUGCAUAUGAUGUUGAAAAUAAUACUGAUGUUUUUUAUAAAGAGGUAUCAGAUGGGGCAAGUGUUGUUGUUAUUGGGAAGCUGGGCAGUAUUCCAAACCCUCUUGCCAUUAUCGGAGGUAAUUGCUCUUUACAAGGAUUUGAUUAUGAAGGAAAUGACCCAUUUUGGACUGUGACAGGGGACAAUGUCUGCUCACUGGCUCUUUUGGAUUUUGAUCAAGAUGGAGAAAAUGAGUUAAUAGUUGGUUCUGAAGACUUUGACAUCCGAGUAUUCAAAGAGGACAACAUUGUCAAUGAACAAACAGAAACAGAAGCAGUAACAGCGCUCACAGCAUUUCGAGGCAACAAGUUUGGUUAUGGACUUGCAAAUGGAACUGUUGGCGUUUAUGAGAAAUUACAGAGACUCUGGAGGGUGAAAUCGAAGAAUCGUGCAGUGGCUAUUUAUGGCUAUGACCUGAAUGGUGAUGGUGUGGAAGAACUCAUCACUGGCUGGUCCAAUGGGAAGAUUGAUGCACGUAGUAGUCGUACUGGAGAGGUCAUUUUUAAGGACAAUCUAAACCAUUCAGUAGCUGGUAUUGUAGAGGGAGAUUACAGACUGUCGGGUAAAAAUGAUCUUAUCUGCUGCUCUGUAGAAGGAGAAGUGCGUGGCUACAACCUCUCACGACAGGUAAAUGUGCGGUCUGAUGUGUAUGGAGGUAGUGUAAAUGCGGAGACAGAAGCUAUUCGAGACUUGUUCACAAAGAAGCAAGCUCUAAUGCUUGAACUGCGCAAUUAUGAGCUCAACAGUCAUUUUUCUGAAAUUAGUGUUGGAGAAAUGGGACAGCAACUUGCAGUGGCUAAUCAACACGUUGGAAUUAUACCUGCCCAAACAAGAUUACAGACUGGAAUUGCUGUCAACAUGGGUACUGAAGACAAACCCCCACAUGUUGAGAUUUCCUUGUCUACAAAUAAUGAGACUGUCAUUUGUGCAGUUAUGGUAUUUGCAGAAGGAAUUUUUGAAGGUGAAACUCAUGUGCUUCAUCCAAAAGAGUCAGAAGUGACAUCAAGAUUGGAUGUGGCUCUGUAUCCACCCAGAGAUGUUCCAGUUGAUAUUCACAUUAAGGCAUUGGUUGGAUAUGAAGGAAGCCAGCACUAUCAUGUGUUUGAACUAACUAGACAGUUGCCACGGUUUUCAAUGUAUGCUGUGCUUGUUGAACGGACACAGGAUGUUGGCAGUUUUCUCUCCUUUGUCAUCAAUGAAAGACUGCAGCGGAUUGCCAUGUGGGUUAAUCAAAACUUCUUGCUUUUGACUGAUUACGAAGUUGUGGGAGACUUGAACGUAACUUUCCUUUCUCUCCGAGACAAUACUGAGGUGACUCUCAGUAUGGAAUCCAAUGGGCGUAUGGAAAUCAUCACUAAAAACAUGGCAUUAGCUGGGGAUAUUGUCCAGUCACUUGCCACAUUCUUGAAUUUGGAGGAACUUCAGGUGAGUGCAAACUUUCCUGAGGAGCAAGAGAAAAUUGGGGAGCUCAUUCAGAAGGUUUCUGCCCUUCAAGAUGUUCGAUUAAGACUUGGUGCUGAGAUGGCAGAUCACUCAGGCCUUAUUCGUAGUUUGGUGGUUCGUGCCGAAGAUGCCAGACAUUUGGAUGAUAUGAAAAGUAUGCGUAAAUGGUACUUGGAGCUGAAUGAAGUAAACACAGAUUUGAUUAGAGGCUAUAAUAUUCGCUGCAAGAACCACCAAGAAUUAUUGGAUGCUCUCAAAGAGUUGAAUGUCAUCAUACAGAAAGCUGCACGAUUACGAGUUGGGAAAUACAAAACAAACACAGUGAACCUGUGUCGAAUAGCCUUGAAGAACAAUAAUCUCAACUCUCUGGUGAAAAUCAUGAAAACAGGAGAAGCAUGAUCUUGUCGUCUGUACAUACUUUUCGUGUGGAAACUCUUCACAUGCUAUAGCAAUGCUGAUGCUAAGGCCUGCGUUCAGAUCUUUGGAAUAUCCUGCACCAAUAGACAUGCCAUCAAUGAAGUUGUGUAGAGCAUCACCAAAUAUUAUCAUGUAUGCCACUGUGGCCUUGGAGAGCAAAUCAGUUGUAAUUCUGAGUGUCCAUAUUACUCGUGCGUGUACAUACCUCAGGAAUCAGUUGAAAUGUUGAUGUUGCUGAUAGAGAACCAACAGCAAGACCAAUGAGAAUUCGCAUCAUCUGGUUGUAAAACUUGGAAUUGAUUAGUGGCCAGAAGAGACCUCCAAACAAUCCUGACAAACUGAUGAGUGCAACAGAACAAAGACCAAAUCCCCAAACUGGAAAUUACAAGAUUGCAUUAGGAUAUUUGGUGUUUUUCAUUAUACCCUAGAAUUGAAUGCUUAUAAUUUAAAUAGGUCCAGCCAUCACUGUGUUCCUUAGGUACCUUCAGAAUCUAAGUUACGUACAAAUUCAUAGGACUAUUGAUAAUCUCUAAAUUAAUUCUAAGGAGCUACCUUCAUGUAGACUCAUAGGUAGAUGCCAGUGUUAGCAUCUACCUGUGACACCAAAACCCAAAAUAUCAUCCUAACUGCCUUGGAAACCUUAAAUCUCACAUUUAAAUUACAAAGUAUAAAAAUGGUGCAGAAUUGUUUCUUGACAAAUUAAUGAACUUGACAAAAUAAUAGAUAAUUAGAAUGCCGCAUGAUCAUGAGUAAAGUCUUUCAUUAAAAUGCAAUAGGCAUGCCAGAAUAGUUUUUAUAGCAGCAGACUGUGAUUUUGUAUGAGGGGGUGGGGGAGAAUGGAAGUUUUGACAGUAGGUAGCCAGAGUGUGCUGCUCACUUGUUUAUCUGUAGCAUGUUGGCACUAUUGUUUAUUGAACUGUGAGGUAGGAACUUUGUAAUUUAAUUUUAAUGACUGAGGAGACCGUGAAUACUGCCACCAAUUCACUUGUUGCGCUGCCAUCUGGAUUUCCUAUAUACUGCUCAGAACUUUGACCUAACGUCCUUUCAGUUUUUUUAUUCUUCCCUCAGAGUGACAAACCAAGUUUCACACUCAUUCAUUGGGUAUAAUACAGUAUUUGUAUUUGUAUUUUAAUUUGUAGAAAGAAAUAGAGAAAACAGUUUCAUUACCAGACCAAUCUGCCUGCUGGCAUAAAAGAUAAUUUUGAUGUUCUUUAGGUAGAUAUAAUUUUUUUUCACUAUGUUAUCAUGACACACAUAUAAAUGAAAUGCCAUGUAGCUUGGAAUGUUUUAUCAAUAUUAAGUAUUGCAAAUGUUAUCUGAUAUGUUGCAAUAAAAGAUAUCAUUGAGACCACUUUAUUAUUUAUCAGGUAAAGUACCAGGCCUGAUUAGCCAGUAUUUUUAAAAAGGUGUUACAGGAAUUCUGUAUGUCACAGUAUUAAACUGUGUAAAAAUUUUAUGAAUGUUACUGUUCAGCUAGUCAAUGAAAUCCUUAUUUUUCAUGGAACCCAGAGGUUAUUUACUGUGAUUACCAGACCUUGCCAUUGGUGCCUAUCCCAAGUCAGAUGAAUCCAGUCCACACCCUCCAACCCAAUUUUCAUUAUAAUGUUAUCCUCCCAUCUAUGCCCAAGUCUUCAGAAUGGUGUUUUCCCUCCAGGCUUACUAACCAAAAUUGUGUAUGCAUUUCUUCAUCAUAAUAACAUUUGGUGAAAACAAAUUUCUCUAACUUGAAAUGUUUGUAUGGCUGAUAUUUUAGAAUUGUAGAAAAUAAGAAUUAAAUGCCUUCCAAUGCUUUGUCCAUCUUAUUUCAUUUUAUAAAAAUUGGCAAAGUCAAAAGUCAUUUUUGAGACUUACACGCUCAAAUCAUGCAUCAUAUGAUAUGCUCCUUUUCAACUUGGACUAAACUUAGAAUGAGUUACUUUUGUUAAUCACAAGUGACAGCUGUGGAUCUUGUCAUUGUCCUGUCUCCUAGGAUGUUGCACCAUGUACUGUGGUGGAAAUUGAGCUACAGUUUACUCUGAAACGUGGUAAAUUUAUACCAGACCACAUGAUGUAACAUCCCAGAGGACAGCCAUCUUACUCAUCACUGUGAGAACCUGAAGUCUCACCAAGUAUAAGCUACUUUGUGUUUUCUGUAGUGUCCAUAUUCUGAUAAUGUCUGUUAAUUCUCUUGGUUCCUUAAGACAUUUUAUUGUGUUAGAUUGUGAUAUGUACUACUACACAUUCUGUGUAAUAGGAACAAAUUAACAAAAGGUUUAGUUGAAGGUUUACCUUUUACUGAUGAGGGUUUGUUGAUGACAGUGUGCUGUAAAAUGUCAUGUUGAAUUUCUUCAUCAUACUUGAGCCAUGAACAAGUAGCAUUAUUCUCCAUUCCAUUUUGAGAUGUACUCGGUGACAGUGCUUCUAUUUUAUUACACUGUGUAGAGAAAUUGAGCUUUAGCAGAAGUAAUCAAAUGGAACAGAAUUCAUAUGCUCUAGGUCAUAUGUCUGCUGGCUUCAAUUCUUUGAAUAUAAAAGUGGGAUUACUAAUAGGAAAGGCCAGUUACAGACAGUCUCUGACUUAUGUAAGGAUUCAUUUCUGCAAACCCAUAGGUAAGCCGUAUUUUAUGUAUGUCAGAAAUUACCAUAAGUAUUUAGAUUUUGUCAUUAUAUACUUUGAUGGUACUCUACAUAUAGUAAAAAUAAUAUAACAUUAACAUACACCUAACAUACCUUAAUUCAUAAUGGUAAUUGUUCAAAAAUUGAUUAAACUCUGAAUAAUUUGAUUUAAAACAUCAUUGAAUAUAUGGUUAAAAAUGUAUUUUCUGAGACUUUUAUUUACAGUCAAAUUUGUAUAAAUAUUGAUUAACCCAGACAGUUACUUUAUAAACAAAAGAAUUGGGGGUUUUAUACAUUGGUAUGUAUGGUUUUAUUGUUAUAUGUUACUCAUUGCUUGUUAAUUUGUCUUAAGAAAGAUAUUAGAAUAAGUACUUACAUGAAUUGUGACUUCCUCCAGAAUUCACCAUCACGAGUCAUAUAACUAAACAUUUUUGCAACUCUACAGUGUGUCUGCCAGUCACACUGUUUUAUGACAGCUGUGUUGAGCCUAUAUGUGUUCAUGUGAGAGUGGAUUAAGUCCCUAACCAGUUGUUUAUAAUUCCUGCUUGUACUGUAGCUGUUGGUUAAAUGUAAUCUUUACAGCUUCAUGAGUGUAAUCUCUGAAGUGCUCGAAGGAGCCAUGUCUGAAAUGUUAUCUAUCUACAUAUGAGGCCAGAUGGUGUCACAGCCCAGAACAACAUUGACAUCUUCACUCAAAUAUGUAUUUAUAUUUGUACAAGAAACAAGUAUUUUAUUUGUGCUAUGACCUGUUCUACAUCCUUGGCUUAGGUCUAUGAAGGAUCUAUGGAAUGUAAAUAAAUUCUAUUCUGUGGGAACCUGAAAUGUUGUACAGCAUGUUUGUUUGGUGGCUUCUGUUUCUGAAGGGAACAGUCGCAUGUUGUCACUUUCUUCUGGCAUCCAGUAAUUUUUUGUUUCAGAUUGUGAUCAAUAGUGAUUCCUCUGUGGAACAAGGGAAUAGGCUGUUUCCAUAAUUUCAGUUUCAAUUUUAACAAAUAAUAAUGAGAGUAAGAAGAUAUUUUUUGGAAAUUUAAGAUAUGUUUUAUCAAACUGCAAUUAGCAGCAGUGCUGUGAACAUGAUUUACAUCUUUUUCUGGCUAGUCCAAAAAUUUAUGGUUUGUUGAGAGGAGGAAACUGAUUCAAAUCAGUUGGUCUGGUUUUUGCAUGCAGGAGUCGCAUCUGUAUUAUAUUUACAGUUCUCCUUUUGACUUGAAUUAUUGUGGAAGUGAUAAAGGAAUUACAGUCAUCUUCAUAUUUAUACACUGUCUUUUCUGCUUUUAUCAUGGUACUGCUCGUAAUUGUAUUGUGAUAAAAUUUCCAUUAGCAGCAAAUUUCCUCUAAAACAGUUGAUAAAAUGUAGUCAGUAGGUUGUUUUGGUGGAAGCACAGAUUUUGUAUUGGUUAAUAUGUUGUGCUGUAUCUGCACUACGUUUACAACAGUUAUUAAUCUUCAGUGACAUUAUCUUUAUGUUCUUCCAGUAUUAUCUGGCUGUACACUUCAUUCACUAACAUGCACAGGAUUUCAUUGUGUUGUUUAAUAGACAAAGCUUCACUGAAUGACAGACUACACAUAUUAGUAAUGGCAACAGCCUACUACUAAACCAUGUGAUGUCACCAAAAUAAAUCCAUCACUGAAUAA